UUAAUCGGUCCCCUCGGGGAUGUCUGAAACCCUUGAAUACAUAACUUUGUUGCUUUGGCGGGCCGCCGUAUGGCGUUGGCUCCGGCUGACCGUGCCCGCCAGAGGUCAAAACUCGUUUGUUUAAUGAUGUCUGAGUACUAUAUAAUAGUUA
This 151-nucleotide unclassified non-coding RNA is filed under the name uncultured Helotiales. RNAcentral's name for it is "sequence contains ITS1". Lineage: Eukaryota; Fungi; Ascomycota; Leotiomycetes; Helotiales. The record is from RNAcentral.